UACGUAGGGUGCGAGCGUUAAUCGGAAUUACUGGGCGUAAAGCGUGCGCAGGCGGUUCGUUGUGUCGGCGGUGAAAGCCCCGGGCUCAACCUGGGAAUUGCAUUUGAGACUGCUCUGCUCGGGUGCGGAAGAGGGAAGCGGAAUUUCCGGUGUAGCGGUGAAAUGCGUAGAUAUCGGAAGGAACACCAGUGGCGAAAGCGGCUUCCUGGUCCGACACCGACGUUCAGGCACGAAAGCGUGGGGAGCAAACAGG
Molecule: ribosomal RNA, 253 nt
Filed under: uncultured bacterium
Lineage: Bacteria
Description: partial 16S ribosomal RNA
Rfam family: Bacterial small subunit ribosomal RNA
Source: RNAcentral